GGCGGCGUGCCUAAUACAUGCAAGUCGAGCGAACUGAUUAGAAGCUUGCUUCUAUGACGUUAGCGGCGGACGGGUGAGUAACACGUGGGCAACCUGCCUGUAAGACUGGGAUAACUUCGGGAAACCGAAGCUAAUACCGGAUAGGAUCUUCUCCUUCAUGGGAGAUGAUUGAAAGAUGGUUUCGGCUAUCACUUACAGAUGGGCCCGCGGUGCAUUAGCUAGUUGGUGAGGUAACGGCUCACCAAGGCAACGAUGCAUAGCCGACCUGAGAGGGUGAUCGGCCACACUGGGACUGAGACACGGCCCAGACUCCUACGGGAGGCAGCAGUAGGGAAUCUUCCGCAAUGGACGAAAGUCUGACGGAGCAACGCCGCGUGAGUGAUGAAGGCUUUCGGGUCGUAAAACUCUGUUGUUAGGGAAGAACAAGUACAAGAGUAACUGCUUGUACCUUGACGGUACCUAACCAGAAAGCCACGGCUAACUACGUGCCAGCAGCCGCGGUAAUACGUAGGUGGCAAGCGUUAUCCGGAAUUAUUGGGCGUAAAGCGCGCGCAGGCGGUUUCUUAAGUCUGAUGUGAAAGCCCACGGCUCAACCGUGGAGGGUCAUUGGAAACUGGGGAACUUGAGUGCAGAAGAGAAAAGCGGAAUUCCACGUGUAGCGGUGAAAUGCGUAGAGAUGUGGAGGAACACCAGUGGCGAAGGCGGCUUUUUGGUCUGUAACUGAC
Molecule: ribosomal RNA, 725 nt
Filed under: Bacillus sp. L1903
Lineage: Bacteria; Bacillati; Bacillota; Bacilli; Caryophanales; Bacillaceae
Description: bacterial SSU rRNA
Rfam family: Bacterial small subunit ribosomal RNA
Source: RNAcentral